AUGGCUACUAAGUUUUUAAAACCUCAUUUUCCGGGCAAACAAGAUGCAACAAGAAUGGAGGUGGAGUAUACUAGUACCAAUCUUCAAGAAGGGGGUGUUCAAAGUUGUAGUAAUUACCGUGGAAUUAAGCUGAUGAGCCAUACAAUAAAGCUAUGGAAGAGGGUCAUUGAACACCGCUUAAGAAGAAUGACCGGCGUGACCAAAAAUCGGUUUGGUUUCAUGCCUCGAAGGUCGACAAUGGAAGCCAUUUUCUUGGUACGACAACUUAUGGAGAGAUACAGAGACCAAAAGGACCUGCAUAUGAUGUUCAUUGACUUGGAGAAGGCCUACAAUAAGAUGUCGCGGAAUGUCAUAUGGUGGGCCUUGGAGAAACACAAAGUCUCAACAAAGUACAUUACCCUCAUCAAGGACAUGUAA
This 417-nucleotide ribosomal RNA is filed under the name Triticum aestivum (bread wheat). RNAcentral's name for it is "partial small subunit ribosomal RNA". Lineage: Eukaryota; Viridiplantae; Streptophyta; Magnoliopsida; Poales; Poaceae. The record is from RNAcentral.